Long non-coding RNA from Meriones unguiculatus (Mongolian gerbil), 7207 nucleotides. RefSeq lists it as uncharacterized. NCBI's taxonomy places the organism in Eukaryota, Metazoa, Chordata, Mammalia, Rodentia, Muridae. The record is from RefSeq and is a predicted model, not a curated record. The transcript is spliced from 3 exons.
GGCCCGGGCGCCCCGGGGAGGGCGUGAUGACGUCACGACGCCGGGUUGGAGGCCGCGGUCGCCAUAGCAAUGGGGGUUGCUCCGCGGCGGGAGGAAGCCAUUGCCGGCUUCGCUAGGUGGUUCCUGGCUAGGGCCGUGCGGAGGAGCCUCGAGGGGAUGGGACUCCGAGGGACGGUCCUCUCCUGCGCCCUCUAGGACGCGCCCCGAGGGAAUGGUACCCUGACAGUGUUCUCUGUGGGACGUUCCCCCGCAGGGACUCCCCCCUGAGGGACGCUGUUCUCCGCGCUCUGUGAGAAGGGACGCCCCUCCUGUCUCCCGAGAGGAAGGGCCUCUCUGCUGGACCCUGAUGAUCUCCCUGAGAUACGGUUCUCUCUGAGGGAAGGUUCCCUGACAGCCUCUGCUGAGGAAUAACCCUCCUUUCCCCAAGAGAUGACAUUUUGAUGGAUGGACCCCCGAGGGACAGCACCCCGACAGUCUUCUCGGGUUCUUGGGCUCUCCACCCAUCCCCCUAUCAGCCCCUAACCACCUGCUCCCCUUGAAUGUGAAGAACAAAACAAAAUGCCCCCUAUUUCUUUUUAUGUUUUUCUGUAGUCUUUUUUUGGGGGGCGGGGACUUGGGAGGAACCUCAAACUCACUGUAUCCCAAGGUGGCCUUGAACUUGUGAUCCUCUUGACUCCCAGCUGCCACCCAAAGUUCAAAAGUUCUUUUCUCGUUUCCUCUCCAAGCAGGAAGGAAUUAUGACUUAGGAUAUUUUCAGAGAAAAGGAAAAGGAAAUGAGCUCCCAGUUAGAAAUGAGUAGAUCCGGUGGGAGGACCCUGGGCACGCGCCUGCUGCCCCGACGUCUCAGUGGGGCACUGGAGUUUCCACCGGGUGCCCUAGUAUAGCCCCAGUAGCCGGCAGCCCAGCAACAGGCACAGGACUUUCCCAGGGCUUUCCAGUACAGAUUGUUGGUUGGAAAUACAGCAAGAAAGCCAGACACUGUGCUGGGGAGGUGGAAGCAGGGGGAUCAAGAGUUCACGAUCAGGGCAGGCAGCCUGCUAACCUUAGCUCCAUCCCUGGGACACACGUGGUGGAAAAGAAGCUGUUCCCCCCAGCUGUCCUCUGAACUCCAAAGGCGCAUGGUGGCAUGCACACACACACACACACACACACACACACACACAGUGGCAUGCAUGUGCAAGCACACAAACACAUAUACACACAAUGGAAAACCUCAAGAUCACCUUCAGCCACUUGGUAAAUUCAAAAUACUAGAAUUCAGGAUGAACCAUCAUGCCUGCUCAACUCCACUUCUUACCAUAUAAACAUACGUCUCUUCUUUGCAGAUGGUAACUCUGCUCAUUGCACACCUCACUCCCAUCACUCACUUGCGUCCUCCAAUUACACAUUUAACAAAAAUCAGAAACCGUUUGUUUAUGGAAUCUAUUAGCAAUAGACUAAUUUUUUUUUUUUAAGUCGGCAUCUCACUGUGUAGCCCUGGCUGGCCUGUUACUAGGUAGAUUAGACUGGCCUCCACCUUCCAAGUGCUGGGAUCAAAGGGGUAUGCCCCUGUACCCAGCUGAAGUAAUGAUUCUAAAAACAUUUCAGGUCCAAAGAACUGGUGAGGAAGAAUUUUUUUUUUAUUAUUUUGGUACUAGGAGUCAGACUCAGCCUCAUGCACACUGGCACAGCUCUCUGCUGCUGAGCCACGGGUAAGGAAAAGGUAGGAGAGGGCAGCAGGCCCUGGCGGCUCUCGGUUGCCGUGGUACAGCGGCCUGGAUCUGUUUCUCAGUUUUGCAGGAAUAGAACUUUUGUCGAUUCACUUUUUUUUAAUCACACUAAAUCAGACUCAUAGGAAGUCAGUGUAAUGAAAUAGAAUGCCAGCUCAUUUACGCUUCUAGCCAUCUGUGGGGCGGAUUAUCUCCCUGGUUGAGAAAUCUGUGUGGAGACUAUCAGAGCUACAAAGUUUCACAUUGUGAUCACCGAACAUGCCCAUAUCUCACUGCUUGGGUAUCAUGGCAGUUCAGUGAUCAUGGAGUGACUUCCCUCCCUUCACCACAGAUGUUAGAGAGAAGGCACAAGAUUCUGGUGGCUCAACCCAAGAUACUGAUUGCUCAGGCCAACUUUUUCCCUUGUUUCUCAAGCCAGACUCUGAAAUGACUAUCCUAAAUCGAGGCUCUUAUCUAUAAAAAGUUAGUAGUUGUUUGUCAUGUCCAUGGCCGAGUGAUGAUGGUAGCAGCUGACUUACCUAUAUUUCAUAGUUUUCCUAUCUAAGACUAUCUUCCAUUAAAAAGAACAUAUUUGGGUGGCUAUAAACGCUAGGAACAUCUUUUUGUUGUUGUUUUGGUGUUUUCAAGACAGGGUUUCUCUGUGUAGCCCUGGCUGUCCUGGAACUUGGUCUGUAGACCAGGCUGGCCUAGAACUCAGAGAUCCGGCUACCUUUGCCUCCCAAGUGUUAGGAUUAAAGGUGUGUGCCGAUACCGCCUCAUCAUAAUUAAAGUUAUGUCCGAGCCACUUGUAUCCUAGGCAGCUUUUACAGACUGUACUGUGGUUAAGAGGAAUGAUACUUUAAAGAUUUAUUUUGAUUUUUUUUUUAUUUUUAUUUUUUAUGUGUGUGUACAGAGACCAGAAAGAGGGUAGCAGAUCUCCUGGAGCUGUAAUUACUUCAGCCACCUGAUGUGGGUGCUGGGAACUGAACUCAGGUCCUAUGCAAGAGCAGCAAGUAGUCUUAACUGCUGAGCCAUCGCUCCGGCCCGGGGGAGAGCAAUACUUUAAAUAUCCACCCACCCACCCCUCUCUUUCUUUGAGACAGGUUUCCAUUGUAUAUCCCUGGCUUGCCUGACACUACAUAGAUCAGGCUGGUCUCAAGUUUGAAGAGGUCCUUCUGCCUCUGCUUCCUGAAUGCUGGCAUUAGAGACAUAAGCUGCCAUGCUCAGCAAGGGAAAGUUCCUGAUAAUGCUUUUAAAGCUGGACAGGGACAAGACUUUUCAGCUUUUGAGCUGGGGCGGAAAGAGCCAGGCUUGCCCGGAAGUCAGAAGUCACUUCUGACUCUCAGGAUCCCCCCAGCUAUAGGACAAGCUGUUGAAGUAGAGGAAAAGAUGAGUGCCAGACUGAGGAGUUUCAUUUCGUAUUUUAAUAAUAUAAAAAAGACAAUACAAAAUUCAAACAUUCCUCUUUACAAGUUCAGAUACAUAAUUUUCCCCAAGUGCAAAAUACUGUAUGAACCACAUUGUUGGUAUUUACUGUCAGCUGAGAUGCUUGCUGUAUUGGCAGUGGAAGGCAGAUAUAAAUACAGUAUUUUGAGAUUUUCUUCUGCAUUAAAAAAAAAAAAGCCUUCCGCAUGGUAAUUAUUCUCUGAAACUUCAACUCACACAGAACAAAAUUCUUAGCUUGUCCAAACUGCUACCAUUGUUUUGUCUUGGUAAGCUGAUAGCAGAAAUGGGCUUCUAGUCCCUCUUUUAAAGAUUCCUAAUCCGAAUAAUGGCAGAAGGGCAGCAUGUGCUAGCUCUGAGACAGGUCCAAUGUGAAGGUUUCCUUGGCAGCGUCUGCUUAGGAGUGAAACCAGGCUGGGAAAUGUCCUGCUUGGGGACAGUUACAUGUCGCCUCUGCUCCGCUACUUGAAGCUCAGCAGCAAAAGCAGACACUUGAGUGCGUGACAGCCUCUUCUGACACACUGGGAUACAACUUCCUAAUCCACCUUAAGACACAGAGAAGAGGACUUUGCAGAUUCACAGAGAUACAGAAGCCAGAGCCCAGACUGCACUGCUGAACUUGAAGCAACAAAUCUGUCCUUUUCCUCCAUGUUCCGGGGGAACUGAGCACAGUGAUGGCAAUCCUCUGAGGAUCGCGGAAGGCAUAGGGCAGGCUACUAAGGUCCUGGCUCUGGUCAGUCUUCUCCUAAUUCUGAGAAUCCCUUCACGCGUCAGGGAUCGGCUGGCAGAGGCGGAGGGCUAAAGAGGCACUGAGGUGCUGCCAAGGACCCAAGAGCCUGCUUGAGAUGUGUCAGUCACUUGGUGCUCGGAGGCCGCGUGGAAAUGACUUCCCACGGCAGGACUCCCUUCAGAGCAGGUCUGUGCUAAGAUGGAUGAGGUGCCAUGGUCCUGUGGCCUCACAGAUACCAUGGCCCGCAGAGAAGCUUCUGGGUCAGUUGGUUCCACACCAUCUUCCCUUCCCUGCCCCCACUUCCUCCUAGAAACCUUUUGUCUAACCUGUGCAGUCCUAAAAGUCCCUGAGUUGUUGACUCCUCGUUCAAUCCACUUUGCCCCCACUUAGAUGCCCCAGGGCCUGUACCUUCCGUAAGUUCAGCAGCCGCUCUGCCUGGAUUCCUCACUGCCAGCUUGGUUGACAGUGGCAAGUCCUCGCUUGAUCUCCUCAUCCAUCUUGAUAGGAGCUAAGCCUAGUGGCCUGAACCUCGCAACGCAUGUGCCCUGGGCCACAGAACAAAUGAUCGCAGGCAGGAUCUGCACAUGUGUGGUGUGACAGCAAAGGGAGCAAGGAGAAACCAUAUCACAAUGGCACAUGGGAGGCACUGUGGCUGUGCGGCUUUCCAGGAGCUGAGCAAAUGGCAGGGAAAGAGGACUCUCAGUUCUCCUUGCUUCUGGCAGGAUAGUCAAGGCUGCUUCGGGCUGCUCUGUGGCACUUCUGGAGAAGUACAGACAGUCCACGUACCCUUCUUGUGACAGCUUUACAAUAGCUCUCUGACCCAGAAGACAGACAGCAGACCCCCACGGUGGUGACUAACAUGUCCAAGAAGCUGGCUUUGCUUGCCGUUGGCUAGUGUGUGUGGAUCAGGUGGCUGGUGACUGUCCAGGACUAUGGCCUCCGGGACCGAGAGGGAGCAGUUGCGUGCUUUACAGGGUGCAGAGCCUGGCCUUGGGCAUAGACACCAUUCUCCCUUUUGGAGAGCAGCUGUUGAAACAGGCUUGAAGUCAGCUCUGCUGCUCCUCGUUCCUCCACCAGCUUCGUACGUGGAUACUUGUCCUGGUCUAGGCUGCUCCAGCCUUCUCUGGACGCCUUGGGAGCCUGAGCUGACCCAUCCCUAGAGUUCGUCCUGAUCUCCCGGGUGCAUGCCAGAGGACAACACGGAGGCAAGAAAAGGCCAGAGGCUCUCUCUACCUGCAGAUCACUGACCAGCUCCGUCUGCAUCUAUAAUCCAGAGAGGCGCGAGGGUGGCAGCGUCAGCUUAGCCAACAGCCCUCUCCCCGCUUCAUCAGGUCACCAGAGCUGCUCUCCUACACUUUGGCUGCCUGUGAGGGAAUGCCCUGGCUCGGCACAGCUGAGGGUGGCCUCGGGUAGGACAGACAGAUGCUCCAGCACUCAAGGCUCCUGAGCGUCAAACUGCUAUUCCUCCACUCCCAACACACUCUUCUCUCCUGGGCAGCUAUAAAUAGGGUUACUCUAAGAGGAAAAAGAAACAAACAAAAAACAACCCCCCUCCCUCUAAUCGACACAGAAAGACUCAAAAAUGAUUGCACUUCUCAGAUGUGGGCACGGUGGCCAGGCGGCCUGCCAAGGGCACACACGCAUCCCUCUUGCUGCCCACAGCCCGAGGCCAGAGGUAGGCAGCUCCAGGCUGGUUGCAGAGUGGGGUCCUCUUUGGUGGAGCCCACAAGCCACCUGGGGCUACAAGGGAAAAACAGCUGUGGAGCACGAUCUAGGCUGGCGAGGGUCAACGGCCAGGUUUAAGGACGGCACUUAGUAAGAGGAGUGGGUCCCCCCACCCCGGGGAGCACUUAGGUGGGGUGAGGGCGUGGCUGGGCCAGGGAGGACUGGCAAGAGGAGGUUAGUGUUUGAGGCUGGCUUCUACUUGUCUACAGUUGAGUCCUUUUGGUGAUAAUUUGCUUUGUUUUGGGCAAUGCUUUAAAAACCUGCUUUCUGUCCUGCAGAGCUGGCUGAGGGCGCUGUAUGUCGGGAGCGCCUGCAGGGUGCUGGCAAACAAGGCCUGCUGCUCCCCCUUACUCGGCUGCGGUUUGCCAGCCCAGGGCUAUGGAACAUGUAAGCCCUAUGGAGCAGCCCCAGGCAGACAGCAGGGAGUGCUCCAGAGGAGGACACCGACUAAACGGGCACCCCAGGGCUCACGGUGUGCCCUGGCAGCCUGGUGCCAGCAGCUGGCAUAAACCUGUCGUGUCAAAGGCUUCUCUGGCAGGACUCUGGGCUGUGAAGAGUCACCCUGGGGAGCACAGCAAGGGCCAUUUUGACUCCUGGCUAGCCAGCAAGGCACAACCCUAUAAUGGCAGAAAUGGCAGAAGCCUUUCUUACCCACCCCUACUCCCUAGCAGGCCCGUUCCUCUCCUGGGCCUCCAACACCCUUCCAGACUGACAAGGGGCUGGGGAUGUGAGCUGGUGAGGUGGGCAGAGCAGAACACCUCUUGGGGGAACAGAGACGGCUUGAAUGGCUUUUCUAGGGACCAUGUAAAAAGAGAGAGACAGAGAAGACAAGGUAACUAGAAAGACAGAAGGGGAGUGCCUGCUGUAGUGAUAUUUCUCCUCCAAAAGGAGAGGGCAGUUUCUUGUCUGAGGUUGGGGUGCCAGCUCUGAGGGCCAGGGAGGCAGCGCUCUGAAACCUGGGUUUCUGGGCCCACAGGCACUAUUUGUAAGGCCUCAAGAAGCUGGAGACUUUGGAGCGCAGCAGCUUGAUGAAGGAUUUUGGCAGCAUCUCCUUGUGCUUCUCUGUGUACUUGAAGUAGUUCUGUGGGUGGGCCAGGACCUCAAAGAAGGCCUUGAUAAGCUUCUUGUCCUGCAGAAGACGGCAGGUGGCAGUCGUCAGCUUCCACGGCAUGUGGGAAAGUAGCCCGUCUUCAAGUCUUAACGGCACCUCAGCACUGAGCCUGCCUGGAGGCAUGAUACAGCAUGGUGACACUACUUCUGUGAGCUGGAGCUUGCCCAGGCCUACCAUGGGGCAAGCACUUUAACGCAUCUGGGAAGCGGCAAUGAAGAAGGCACGUAUCUCAAAGAGCCAGGAAACAGAAAGUCAUGCUAGGGCUGGAGAGAUGGCUCAGAGGUUAGGAGCACUGGCUGCUCUCCCAGAGGUCCUGAGUUCAGCUCCCAGCAACCACAUGGUGGCUCACAACCAUCUAUAGUGAGAUCUGGUGCCCUCUGCUGGCAUGCAGGUGUACAUGCAGACAACAUUGUAUACAUAAUAAAUCUUUGAAAAAAAAAAAAAAAGUCAUGCUGGUACUUAGCACUUUGCCAGCACACGGGUGUGUGUCCAAUGACUGUUCACUUGCCU